This 777-nucleotide unclassified non-coding RNA is filed under the name Hevea brasiliensis (rubber tree). The record is from RNAcentral. Lineage: Eukaryota; Viridiplantae; Streptophyta; Magnoliopsida; Malpighiales; Euphorbiaceae.
GUUUCUUGAGCUUCUUCUGUCAACUACAUGAAAAAUUUACAAGCACCUUUGUGUGACUUUAGCCCUUGGUCAGCAGCUAUUUCUUGCCCAAGUAGAUGUGACUGCUGCAUAAAACUAUUUUCCUGCCGAAGGGGGAUGCUUGGCAGCACAUUUAGACCUUUCAAUCUGUAACUGAGUUUCCAUGAACAUAUUCAUCCUUUGUACCUCAAGGUCCUUGGUGAAUUCCAUCCUCUGCUUCUCCAACUCCAUCAUCUGCUGCUGCUUUGAGCUUUCAAUCCUUUCAUAUAUCUCCCCAAACCUCAAAAUUGCCCUAGCUAAUUCCUUAAAUGCGGUGGUAUCCUCGGAUAACCCUACGUACUCCAUCUUAUUCUUCCUCUCUCCACUCCCAAAGGCCAAAUCAUCAUGUGAGCUGUCAUUUGAACCACUUGAAUUCAACCUGGAUGAUCCACCUGAAUAAUUCAAUGCACCAAAGUUUGAGUCGGGGCUAAUUUUUUCCUUAACGGCAAGUGAUAUCGAGGCAGACGGUCUUCUAUUACACGGUGAGGCAGAAACAUUAUUGGUUGCGAUGAGAUAAUCAAGACGGUUAUAAAAGGGCCACUUUGAAGGAGUUGACUUGUUUUUCUCAAGCUUGUACUUCUUCUUCAAAGUAUCGAUCCGGUUCUUACAUUGUACAUCAGUGCGCUGAGGCUUAACUCCAUUUUGACGUGAAUUAACGGAGUAGGCGACUUCCUUCCAGUCCUUCUGCCGGAGAUUACCGCGAUUAAGCCUGAGAUAGCG